GGAACCGAGGCUAAUACCGCAUAAUACCCACGGGUCAAAGGAGCAAUUCGCUUGAGGAGGGGGUCGCGGCCGAUUAGUUAGUUGGCGGGGUAAUGGCCCCACCAAGACGGUGAUCGGUAUCCGGCCUGAGAGGGCGCACGGACACACUGGAACUGAAACACGGUCCAGACUCCUACGGGAGGCAGCAGUGGGGAAUUUUGCGCAAUGGGGGAAACCCUGACGCAGCAACGCCGCGUGGAGGAUGAAGUCUCUUGGGACGUAAACUCCUUUCGAUCGGGACGAUUAUGACGGUACCGGAAGAAGAAGCCCCGGCUAACUUCGUG
Molecule: ribosomal RNA, 323 nt
Filed under: uncultured bacterium
Lineage: Bacteria
Description: bacterial SSU rRNA
Rfam family: Bacterial small subunit ribosomal RNA
Source: RNAcentral